UUGCUGUGGUAUUUUGACUAUACAAAGGUAUUGAAAUAAGAUUUUAAUUGAAUGCUAAGAGAAUGGAAUUUCAGAAAAAAACUUUUUUUAAAUUAAAAAUUGAAAUUUUUUUAAUUUGUGCAGAAACAAUUAUUAACAUUAAGGACAAGAAGACCCUAUGAAUUUUUGAAAUUUUUAAUAAGAGUAAUUUACUAUUAUUAUUAAAAAUUUUAGCUGGGGCGGCUAAAAAAUAUAAUUAACUUUUUAAGAAUAAAACGAUCCACUAAUAAUGAUUACAUG
Molecule: ribosomal RNA, 279 nt
Filed under: Rhipicephalus pusillus
Lineage: Eukaryota; Metazoa; Arthropoda; Arachnida; Ixodida; Ixodidae
Description: partial 16S ribosomal RNA
Source: RNAcentral